GCUUUUCGCGUUCUUCGGACUAGCCGGAGGCUCAGGUUGGUGACCAAGCGGCAAAGUUCCUAGCGCCUGUAGUGUGAACUCCAACUUUUAGGCCAAGUUGAAAAUGCAGCCGACGGCCCCCACACUUCUAACUUCAGAAACAGAACUUCAUGACCCUAGGGAGUGAGGAGGAGAGUGAAAAAUGCAUAAGUGCUGGCUCCUCCCUUACCCUUCGCUGCCUCGCAGCCUUGUUUCUAUAUUCUCACCGGGAGCUUUGGACUUUGAAAGGAUGAGGAGAAUGGGGGAGAGGAAGAGCGUGGCUUUGCCAGCUCCCUGCAGCAAUACAGCAACUUAGAAAUGGCGGGGUCAACGAAAAAAACCCGCCUGUUGGAACACUGGAAUAUGAAAUACGUCUGCCAGUACUUGCUGCCCUGUUUGCAUGUAGUGUUGGAGAUACCCCAUGAACACAGAAUUCCAAGAGACCCAGUGGUGCCUAGAAGUUUAAUGAGACUCACAGCUAGCACAAGGGUUCUUGUGGAAACAUGUGCUGAUGAGGAGGUGCCAUAAUACCAAAGUAGCCUAGAAGGUGGACCAACGCACAGAGGACUAUGAGCCUCAAGGGACUUUAUGUGAACAAGAAUUAAAUUUUGGUUAAGCCCAUGACAUUUGGAGGUUUUUUGUGUGUGUGUGUUUUGUAUUUACUUUUUAUUUGUUUUGAGACAGAGUCUUGUUGUGUUGCCCAGGCUGAGGUGCAAUAGCAUGAUCUUGGCUUACGGCAACCUCUGCCUCCCAGGUUCAAGUGAUUCUCGUGCCUCAGCCUCCUGAGUAGCUGGGAUUUCAGGCAUGCACCACCACACCUGACUAAAUUUUGUAUUUUUAGUAGAGAUGGCGUUUCAACAUGUUGCCCAGGCUGGUCUCGAACUCUUAACCUCAAGUGAUCUGCCCUCCUCAACCUCCCAAAGUGCUGGGAUUACAGGCAUGAGCCACUGUGCCUGGCCUGGAGUUUUUUUUUGUUUUUUGUUUUUUUUUCUGAAGCUCUGCUUAGCCUAUCCUGAUUAAUAUAAUGGUGCUGCUGCAGCUUUUUAAUUCUGUUGCAAACUGAAUGCCAAAUUAGCCCUGUGGAUCUAGCACACCAACAAAAUACAACUGUUCAUUGUCAUACUUUAAGGCCAUUGAAUCUCCCUGUGAGAUCCAGAGUUCUCAGGGAGUAUGGCUAGUAGUUCUAUAUGUAUGUGUUUCCAUGUCCUGAAUGAAGUAGUUCACUCUUGGGUAUAGGCCCUGAAGGUCUGAGAGUAAGACGUCUCUUAAUAUAAAUUUGCAUGGAGAAGUUUCUUGUCUUUGAAGCAGAUGGUAAAUCUAUACACCUGGAAGUCAUGGUUACUUGAAAGCUAUCCUUAAAAUGUAUCGAUACAUAACAACUUAUAAAUCACUUGUAAGACUUAUUUUCUGCCCUGAAAAAUUCCUAGAAACCUGACUUUUAAGGUAUAAUGUGACUUAUGUUGUCUUUCUCCUUUCCUUUCAUCCCUUAUUUUUUUGUUGUUGUUUAUUCUUAGAAACAGGGCCUUGAGCUGUCACCCAGGCUGGAGUACAAUAGCACAAUCAUAGCUCACUAUAACCUCAAACUUCUGAACUCAAGUGAGCCUCACACCUUGGCCUCCUAAAGUGUUGAGAUUAAAGGCGUGAGCCACCGUGCCUGGCCUAACAUGCUCUUCAUUAAUGGGAAAGUAUGUUUAGGGAAAUUAUUUUGUUUCAAUAAACAGCCUAAGUGUUUAUAAAGUCUACAGUAGUGUACAGUAAUGCCCUAGGCCUUCACAUUUACUCACCACUCACUUACUGACUCACUCAGAGCAACUUCCAGUCCUAUAAGCUCCAUUCAUGGUAAGUGCCCAAUACAGGUAUACCCUUUCUUAUCUUUUUAUGUGGUGUUUUUACUGUAUCUUUUCUAUGUUUAGAUACACAACUACUUACCAUUGUGUAACAAUUCUGUACCAUAUUCAGUUAACAUACUGUACAGGUUUGUAGUGUAGGAGCAAUGGACUAUACCAUACAGCCUAGGUGUAUAGUGGGUUACACCAUUUGGAUUUGUGUAAGUACUCUAUGAUGUUCAGACAAGGACAAAUUGUUUAACAAUGCAUUUGGAAGGAUAUAUCCCUGUCAUUAAGUGAUGCCGGAUUGUAUUUUG
Molecule: long non-coding RNA, 2161 nt
Filed under: Papio anubis (olive baboon)
Lineage: Eukaryota; Metazoa; Chordata; Mammalia; Primates; Cercopithecidae
Description: lncRNA (ENSPANG00000038637.1)
Source: RNAcentral